RNAcentral lists this ribosomal RNA (484 nucleotides) under uncultured bacterium. RNAcentral's name for it is "bacterial SSU rRNA". It matches the Rfam family "Bacterial small subunit ribosomal RNA", at positions 29 to 496 of the family's 1533-position model. The record is from RNAcentral.
AACGAACGCUGGCGGCGUGCUUAACACAUGCAAGUCGAGCGAGAAAGGGAGCUUCGGCUCCUGAGUAAAGCGGCGCACGGGUGAGUAACACGUGGGUAACCUGCCUUUCAGUGGGGGAUAACAGUUCGAAAGGGCUGCUAAUACCGCAUUCGUCCACACGGUCACAUGUCUGUGUGGAGAAAGAGGCGCAAGUCUCGCUGGAAGAUGGGCCCGCGGUCCAUUAGCUAGUUGGUGGGGUAAAGGCCUACCAAGGCUUCGAUGGAUAGCUGGUCUGAGAGGAUGAUCAGCCACACUAGGGACUGAGACACGGCCCAGACUCCUACGGGAGGCAGCAGUGGGGAAUAUUGGACAAUGGGCGCAAGCCUGAUCCAGCAAUGCCGCGUGUGUGAAGAAGGCCUGCGGGUUGUAAAGCACUUUCAGUGGGGAAGAACAGAUUCGGGUCAAUACCCCGGAGCCCUGACGUUACCCACAGAAGAAGCACCGG